UACGAAGGGUGCAAGCGUUACUCGGAAUUACUGGGCGUAAAGCGUGCGUAGGUGGUUGUUAAGUCUGAUGUGAAGCCCUGGCUCAACCUGGGAACUGCAGUGGAUACUGAGAAGCUAGAGUGUGUCAGAGGAUGGUGGAAUUCCGGUGUAGCGGUGAAAUGCGUAGAGAUCGGGAGGAACACCAGUGGCGAAGGCGAUCACCUGGGAUGUUCUGACGCUGAGGAGCGAAAGCUAGGGAGCAACGGGG
This 247-nucleotide ribosomal RNA is filed under the name uncultured bacterium. RNAcentral describes it as "partial 16S ribosomal RNA". It matches the Rfam family "Bacterial small subunit ribosomal RNA", at positions 524 to 776 of the family's 1533-position model. The record is from RNAcentral.